GAUGAACGCUGGCGGCGUGCCUAAUACAUGCAAGUCGAGCGAACAGAUGAGGAGCUUGCUCCUCUGACGUUAGCGGCGGACGGGUGAGUAACACGUGGAUAACCUACCUAUAAGACUGGGAUAACUUCGGGAAACCGGAGCUAAUACCGGAUAAUAUAUUGAACCGCAUGGUUCAAUAGUGAAAGACGGUUUUGCUGUCACUUAUAGAUGGAUCCGCGCCGCAUUAGCUAGUUGGUAAGGUAACGGCUUACCAAGGCAACGAUGCGUAGCCGACCUGAGAGGGUGAUCGGCCAAACUGGAACUGAGACACGGUCCAGACUCCUACGGGAGGCAGAAGUGGGGAAUCUUCCGCAAUGGGCGAAAGCCUGACGGGGCAACGCGGCGUGAGUGAUGAAGGUCUUCGGAUCGUAAAACUCUGUUAUUAGGGAAGAACAAAUGUGUAGUAACUAUGCACGUCUUGACGGUACCUAAUCAGAAAGCCACGGCUAACUACGUG
This 496-nucleotide ribosomal RNA is filed under the name uncultured bacterium. RNAcentral's name for it is "partial 16S ribosomal RNA". It matches the Rfam family "Bacterial small subunit ribosomal RNA", at positions 28 to 507 of the family's 1533-position model. The record is from RNAcentral.